Molecule: long non-coding RNA, 1439 nt
Organism: Atta colombica
Lineage: Eukaryota; Metazoa; Arthropoda; Insecta; Hymenoptera; Formicidae
Exons: 6
Source: RefSeq, a predicted model, not a curated record
ACUGAGUGUACAUCGAUUAACCUAAAAUUUGUUAAUUGACACUAUAACCAAUACAAUACAAAUUUCCGCAAGUACGACACAAUUGUCAUAAUAAAUGUCAUAAAUAGAUUUUAUUGCUAUAUUAUUACUGAUGGAAGAAGAAGAGAAAGAAAAUAGACGUCGAAAAAAUAUAAUAAGGAGAAGAGAGAUUUAAGAGAUUUAAGAGAUCCGUUUUUUCCAGAUAACACAUUCUCAAAUUGUAUAGAUUAUCUAAAGUGGCAACUGUACAAUUUAUUGAAGAAUUAAAAAAUUUUAUGUCAGUUCCACAAAGAAGAACAGCAGUUUCUCAAUAUUCACAAAUAUUUGUAAUACUUUAUUUCUUAGCAUUUGGUUCCUAUCAAAGAAAAGUACAAGAUUUUCUCAUCAUCAUGCAUCAGUCCAUUUCUAUGCAUGUUACUGUAUUAAAUAAUAUUAUGGGAUGUUGAAUUCAAUUCCAACAUCAAAUAGAAGGAAACAACAAAUUAAACCAGAGAAGGAGAUUCCAUCUGCUUAUGUCUUAUCUUUUAAAAUCAUUUAUAAACGCACCUAUAGGCUCUCCAGAAUUCAGAUAUACAGAACAUUUUACAAAAGCAUGAUCUUCUCCAGAAAGAGGUAUAGAUAUUUUGAAAGGUUGAUGACGAUGCUUGCGAAAAGAGAAGGCAUUGCAUUAUUAGCUGGAAUUCGCAGCUCAUAUUGUAAAUGCAUAUUGCGUUCUACACAAUAUUGUUAUAAAAUGGAGAAUUCUAGAAAAUUAAAUUUAUUUAAAUGAGAUAGAUGAACAAACACCAAUACAAUAUAACAUUGAUGUAAAUAACGCUGAAUAUGACGAAAUGUUAUUCGAUGAUAUUUUGAAUAGACAAGAAGCUCGAAUGUCUCGAGCUAUACAAUUGUGCAAGAUUAUAUUUUUUAACGUAUUUACAAGAGACUAAAUGAAGUAUUCAUGCUAAAAAGAUUCUCAUAAGGAGAAUGCUGUGACUUUACAGGUACACAAAAGAAUAUUAAGAAUCAUGGAUUGGAAAAUUAGAAAAAUCUGUCAGAAUUGAAUUUGAACGAUAACGAUAUAAAAGUGAUAGAGAUUAUUUUUAUUGUUACUGAAGAGAUAAGUUGUAAGGCUUAAAUAUAGUCUUUUCUUUUUUAUUAUUAUUCAAAUUAACAAGUGAUAUAAGAAAGAGAAUGUAUAUUCUAUUUUCCUUCGUUAAAAUAUAAAUUUUAACUCUCUGUAUAAUUUUUUUCUCCAUAUUUAUUAUACAUUUAGCAAGGAAUAUAUAUAACAAUAUAAGCACUCGUCGUGAUUUAUUUUUAUGCAUAUUAAUUAUAAGUCGUAAUGCUUGAUUGGAUGAGGGAAGAUGUUAUGACAAUCGAGGUGUAUUGCUGCGGCUUGUAAUAAUUAUUGUACAAAUAGAUAAACAUUAAUGAAUGGA